Molecule: ribosomal RNA, 254 nt
Filed under: uncultured bacterium
Lineage: Bacteria
Description: partial 16S ribosomal RNA
Rfam family: Bacterial small subunit ribosomal RNA
Source: RNAcentral
CACGUAGGGGGCAAGCGUUGUCCGGAUUUACUGGGCGUAAAACGCUUGUAGGCGGCCACGCCAAGUCGGACGUGAAAUCUCCCGGCUUAACUGGGAGGGGUCGUUCGAUACUGGCGGGCUCGAGGCAGGUAGGGGGAAGCGGAAUUCCCGGUGUAGUGGUGGAAUGCGUAGAUAUCGGGAGGAACACCAGUGGCGAAGGCGGCUUCCUGGACCUGUUCUGACGCUGAGGAGCGAAAGCGUGGGGAGCGAGCCGG